This 460-nucleotide ribosomal RNA is filed under the name uncultured bacterium. RNAcentral's name for it is "partial 16S ribosomal RNA". It matches the Rfam family "Bacterial small subunit ribosomal RNA", at positions 338 to 795 of the family's 1533-position model. The record is from RNAcentral.
CCUACGGGGGGCAGCAGUGAGGAAUAUUGGUCAAUGGACGAGAGUCUGAACCAGCCAAGUAGCGUGAAGGAUGACUGCCCUAUGGGUUGUAAACUUCUUUUAUAUGGGAAUAAAACGUUCCACGUGUGGGAUUUUGUAUGUACCAUAUGAAUAAGGAUCGGCUAACUCCGUGCCAGCAGCCGCGGUAAUACGGAGGAUCCGAGCGUUAUCCGGAUUUAUUGGGUUUAAAGGGAGCGUAGGUGGAUUGUUAAGUCAGUUGUGAAAGUUUGCGGCUCAACCGUAAAAUUGCAGUUGAAACUGGCAGUCUUGAGUACAGUAGAGGUGGGCGGAAUUCGUGGUGUAGCGGUGAAAUGCUUAGAUAUCACGAAGAACUCCGAUUGCGAAGGUAGUUCACUGGACUGCAACUGACACUGAGGCUCGAAAGUGUGGGUAUCAAACAGGAUUAGAUACCCGUGUAGUC